GUAUAUAUAUGUGUGUGCAUAUAUGUGUGUAUUUGUGUGUAUGUAUAUAUGUAUGUGUAUAUGCAUAUUUUAUAUAUACACACACAUAUACACACAUAUAUGCGUACACACA
Molecule: microRNA precursor, 112 nt
Filed under: Chlorocebus sabaeus (green monkey)
Lineage: Eukaryota; Metazoa; Chordata; Mammalia; Primates; Cercopithecidae
Description: miRNA (ENSCSAG00000026724.1)
Source: RNAcentral